AUCCAGGACUGUGCAGAUCGGUGGCACUAGCCCACCAACCAGCACACACUUUGUUAAUCAGAUUGUGCUCAAGGAUGGUGAAUACCUAACCGGUGUUAGUGGAACGUAUGGAAACGAUAGAGAUCGGAAGCAAGUUGAUGUUGCGACAUUGAAGAUUCAGACCAAUUUCAAUCCUCAAGGAUAUGGACCAUAUGGACAAGGAAAGGAUGUUGAUAAUUUAACUGCUUUUUCAUCGCCAAACAUAACUGAUGGUCCUGUUGUUGGAGUUUUUGGAAGGAGCGACGGCUAUAUCGAGUCAAUUGGACUUCUCGUGAGGAAGGAAUUUUCGAGCGCUAAUUAAUGACGUUCUCCAAGUCUUAGGCUACUGUAUUCAGCCAAUGGGGAUAUCUACUUUUAUUUUUGUUUCCAAUAAGCCACAAUAAGAAGUACUUAUAUUAUAUGAGUGGCCUCUCAAGCUAAGAGUGAUUGUAAUCAUAAACUUGAGUGAAUGUAUUAUUGUUACGUUGUUGGUAA
This is a long non-coding RNA of Beta vulgaris subsp. vulgaris (sugar beet), 513 nucleotides long. RefSeq lists it as uncharacterized. The record is from RefSeq and is a predicted model, not a curated record. Lineage: Eukaryota; Viridiplantae; Streptophyta; Magnoliopsida; Caryophyllales; Amaranthaceae. The transcript is spliced from 3 exons.